GGCAAGGUGGCCGAGUGGUCUAAGGCGCACGGUUCAGGUAUAUCUGAAUCUUCAGGCUUAAUAGCUUCCGUGUCAUGAAAAUGGCGUGGGUUCGAAUCCCACCCUUGUCA
RNAcentral lists this transfer RNA (110 nucleotides) under Aspergillus coremiiformis. It matches the Rfam family "tRNA". From Rfam's summary of the family: Transfer RNA (tRNA) molecules are approximately 80 nucleotides in length. The record is from Rfam by way of RNAcentral. Lineage: Eukaryota; Fungi; Ascomycota; Eurotiomycetes; Eurotiales; Aspergillaceae.